GGGGCCAUCAGACCUGUGGUGGUUGGUGUGCUGUGCCUUCUUCAAGGUUUGUUGCCCUUAUGUUGUUAUAAUUCGUUGGUUUGCUUUUGCCUUUCCUCCGUAUUUUCCUUAUGACUAAGCAGUUGACUGAUUUGACUCCAUGUUUUUCCUUUGUGAGCAAAUCCUUCGGUUAUGACCAAGGUGUUUCCAGUGAGGUUUUUACAGUUCCAAUUCACCGGAGUCGCAAUAUUUAUUUUCUGUAACUGAUCUCAUGUUGCCCUGUAUGUUUUAUGAUAAUUCUUGAUCUCUCUGAAUUGCUACUGACAGUGUGUAGCUUAUUAGUUAUUAAGUUACAUAGAUCCUAAGUUUCAGUUUACAUCUUGGUGAUGUAUUUUUACAGUUCUAUAGUACCUAAGUAAGAGCUGUUAUUUCUUGCAUUUUCUUUUUGACUGUUUUUUAGUUGAACAAAUCUUUUGUAAAUGUUUGGAAUUUUGCUUGGAUGUUCUGCUGUUACUUCCCUUCUUGUAGUAUUUUUAGGAACACUUCUUCUAAUCAUCGGCAAGUUCUGGGCUGAAUUAUAUCAUUUCCCUUGCAAUCAUAAAUUGUGUUAUGUUCUGAAUUUUUACUUUGUUCUCAAAUAAUUACUAUUCUCAGUCUGUAGUGUUUACAUUUCUAAAGAAAGGGAGUUAUAGUUUUAGUUGUUGUAAUAUCACUUUAUGUACUGUUGGAGUUGUUUGUAUGUUAGCUUAUCUCAGUCGUCAUAAAGUAACCUGUGUUGCGGUUCUUAUAGUUUGCCCGCAAUUUUGAACUAGGCAGAUUAUUAGUGCUCUUAUUCUUCACGUGCAAUGUAAAUUUCAUGUAAUAUUUGUUGUGCAGUCAGUCCUAGCUGAUUAGGGUGCUCUGUUUGUACUGACUGGCUGCCGACCUUUUUUCCUCUGAUUUGUUAUUUUUGCCCACUUCCAGGUAACAUUUCAAGGGUAUUGGGCCACGUAAAGGCAGGAGUUUUCUGCUGUCAGUAUGUAAAAGUUUUUUUUUUUUGAGGAAGUGGAAGUUGAGCUGCCGAUAUAUUAAGCAGGAGUAAACAAAUACAAUGAUUCUCUUGUUUUACAAGAGGUUGGGAUUAAGGUUUCCCACACCAAACUGAAAGAAAAAGCUAAUCAGGUUCUG
This 1146-nucleotide long non-coding RNA is filed under the name Triticum aestivum (bread wheat). Its description in RNAcentral is "long non-coding RNA (TAES_LNC007626)". The record is from RNAcentral. Lineage: Eukaryota; Viridiplantae; Streptophyta; Magnoliopsida; Poales; Poaceae.